AUGCCGUCCGUGCGGAGAGCCUCGGACGCCGAGGCGGCGGCCUCGGAAGGAGAGGCGACGGCUGGCUCUCCGGCGAGCAGUGGUCGCGGGUGCUGCUCCGCCCCCUCGGCCGCGCGGGCGGCGUGGUGGCGGCGGUUGUUUGGUGGCUGGUCUUCGCGUGCGGUCUUCUCCGACGGACGGCGCCAGAUCUGCAGAGAUAAUCCAGAGAAUUUAACCAAAGUGUUGGCUGAGGCAGUGAAGUGUGCACAAGCUCUUAAGACCGAUGAUCUGAUUACUGACACUAGAGUUAAGGAAGCUUUUGCAGAGCUGAUGAAUAAAGUGUACCCGCAUCUACCUGAGAGUCUACAGGAUCAACUGAUUGCGGAUUUCAAACUCAAUAUCCUCCGUCGGGCACAAGAGAAAAAUACUCCCCCAGUUGAGUUGAUGGAUUGUGAACAGAAGAAGAACUUCCUCGGGAAAAAAGGAACUCGUACCAAUACCUUGUGGAUUAUAGAAAAGCUAGUCCUGUUAGUCGGCAUAUCCUGCUUCAUGUACCUCAUGAGCCUCUAUGUCACCGAGAACUGA
Molecule: ribosomal RNA, 564 nt
Filed under: Triticum aestivum (bread wheat)
Lineage: Eukaryota; Viridiplantae; Streptophyta; Magnoliopsida; Poales; Poaceae
Description: partial small subunit ribosomal RNA
Source: RNAcentral